AUUGAACGCUGGCGGUAUGCCUAACACAUGCAAGUCGAACGUCAAAGGUCUUCGGAUUGAGUAGCGUGGCGGACGGGUGAGUAAAGCGUGGGAAUCUGCCUUGCAGUGGGGGAUAACCCGGGGAAACUCGGGCUAAUACCGCAUACGCCCUACGGGGGAAAGGGGGCUUUUAGCUCUCGUUGCAAGAUGAGCCCACGUCCGAUUAGCUAGUUGGUAGGGUAAAAGCCUACCAAGGCGACGAUCGGUCGCUGGUCUGAGAGGAUGACCAGCCACACUGGGACUGAGACACGGCCCAGACUCCUACGGGAGGCAGCAGUGGGGAAUAUUGGACAAUGGGGGAAACCCUGAUCCAGCAAUACCGCGUGUGUGAAGAAGGCCUGCGGGUUGUAAAGCACUUUCAGUGGGAAAGAAAACCUGGUGGUUAAUACCCAUCGGCUUUGACGUUACUCACAAAAGAAGCACCGGCUAACUCCGUGC
RNAcentral lists this ribosomal RNA (477 nucleotides) under uncultured freshwater bacterium LCK-30. Its description in RNAcentral is "bacterial SSU rRNA". It matches the Rfam family "Bacterial small subunit ribosomal RNA", at positions 30 to 508 of the family's 1533-position model. The record is from RNAcentral.